RNAcentral lists this ribosomal RNA (484 nucleotides) under uncultured bacterium. RNAcentral describes it as "partial 16S ribosomal RNA". It matches the Rfam family "Bacterial small subunit ribosomal RNA", at positions 29 to 507 of the family's 1533-position model. The record is from RNAcentral.
AUUGAACGCUGGCGGCAUGCUUUACACAUGCAAGUCGAACGGCAGCGCGGGCUUCGGCCUGGCGGCGAGUGGCGAACGGGUGAGUAAUACAUCGGAACGUGCCCAGUAGUGGGGGAUAGCUCGGCGAAAGCCGGAUUAAUACCGCAUACGACCUGAGGGUGAAAGCGGGGGAUCUUCGGACCUCGCGCUAUUGGAGCGGCCGAUGGCAGAUUAGCUAGUCGGUGGGGUAAAGGCCUACCAAGGCGACGAUCUGUAGCUGGUCUGAGAGGACGACCAGCCACACUGGGACUGAGACACGGCCCAGACUCCUACGGGAGGCAGCAGUGGGGAAUUUUGGACAAUGGGCGAAAGCCUGAUCCAGCAAUGCCGCGUGUGUGAUGAAGGCCUUCGGGUUGUAAAGCACUUUUGGCGGGAACGAAAAGCACUGUGCCAAUACCACGGUUCGAUGACGGUACCCGCAGAAUAAGCACCGGCUAACUACGUG